Molecule: long non-coding RNA, 574 nt
Organism: Gopherus evgoodei (Goodes thornscrub tortoise)
Lineage: Eukaryota; Metazoa; Chordata; Testudines; Testudinidae
Exons: 2
Source: RefSeq, a predicted model, not a curated record
GCAAAACUGAGGUGACACUGGUAGGAAGAAGGGUUGUGACCAGUAUAUCUUGGUCUUGUGAACUUGCAACAGUCUAGAACAAGACAGAAGGGCCUGAAUGGGAAAGAGGUCUCUGAAUGCAAAAAGCUAUGAGGAGAGCAGCUGAGAAAUGAUAGCGAAAUUGUUAUGGACAAGAGGAAAAGAACAGAGAAGAGGUAGUGAAAGGAUGGAAAAGGAGUCCAGAAAUAAGUGUUUAAAACUGCUGCAGCUGCGUAUCCCCCCUCCACAAAGAAACACCACCAUCACUUGCACAAAACCAAGUACAGUAUAAGGAUUUUGGAAAGGAUCAUGUAAUAAUAGUUUAGGAGAUAAUUAUAAUAAUGUGAUAUACAUUUGCAAAGCGCUACCUGUCAACUGCCUGAUAAACCUAGAUUACUACUCUUGUUCAGGUUUCUACAUGAAUCUCGCUUCAGAACAAUCCCAAAGUGAAGAAAAGAGUUACAAAAUACUUUCAACAAUAUAAAUGAUCUUUUCGUUUCCCCCACUCCCUGUCACUCUCCAUUUGGAUGAUUUAUAUAAAGCUUAUUUCUUCGUG